RNAcentral lists this ribosomal RNA (497 nucleotides) under uncultured bacterium. RNAcentral's name for it is "partial 16S ribosomal RNA". It matches the Rfam family "Bacterial small subunit ribosomal RNA", at positions 28 to 507 of the family's 1533-position model. The record is from RNAcentral.
GAUGAACGCUGGCGGCGUGCCUAAUACAUGCAAGUCGAGCGAACGGACGAGAAGCUUGCUUUUCUGAUGUUAGCGGCGGACGGGUGAGUAACACGUGGAUAACCUACCUAUAAGACUGGGAUAACUUCGGGAAACCGGAGCUAAUACCGGAUAAUAUUUUGAACCGCAUGGUUCAAAAGUGAAAGACGGUCUUGCUGUCACUUAUAGAUGGAUCCGCGCUGCAUUAGCUAGUUGGUAAGGUAACGGCUUACCAAGGCAACGAUGCAUAGCCGACCUGAGAGGGUGCUCAGCCACACUGGAACUGAGACACGGUCCAGACUCCUACGGGAGGCAGCAGUAGGGAAUCUUCCGCAAUGGGCGAAAGCCUGACGGAGCAACGCCGCGUGAGUGAUGAAGGUCUUCGGAUCGUAAAACUCUGUUAUUAGGGAAGAACAUAUGUGUAAGUAACUGUGCACAUCUUGACGGUACCUAAUCAGAAAGCCACGGCUAACUACGUG